RNAcentral lists this long non-coding RNA (679 nucleotides) under Mus pahari (shrew mouse). Its description in RNAcentral is "lncRNA (MGP_PahariEiJ_G0002614.1)". Lineage: Eukaryota; Metazoa; Chordata; Mammalia; Rodentia; Muridae. The record is from RNAcentral.
UCGGACUCCUCGGCGCUCUUGGCGCCCCCGCUCUCCACCCGCCGCAGAUGAAGGCCCCCGCCGCGGCCGCCGCGCUGAGAAGGCAGCGAGCCACUCCCGCCGCCUCCGGCGCUCCCGCUGCAGCUGCCGCCGCCCCUCGCCGGGAGCCGCUGUUGGAAGCCGAAGCCCCGGAUUCUUCGUCCUCCGUGUCCUGGGAAGCGCGCUGCCGCCGCCGGUCCGCCAUCUUACGGAGAACGGCCGCCGCUGGUCAGCUCCUGACGCACCACGCCCGUCGCGGAGGCUGCCGGGAAGCUCGAGACUCCGGAGUCCCGGCAUGCCUCAUGCCCAGGGAGGGCCGCCCUUCUCUCCGCGGGGCGGGGCCUGCGCCCUGCGGCACGUUUUCUGGAGAGCGAGGUGACGUCUGUCGGUGAUGGUGGUUUCCCUGCAACAGUUGAUGGCCAAGGGUAUCAAACCUUAAACUCAGAACAUGGCAGUUUCAUAGCCCUGGAGCAGCCUGUGCCUUUCCUUCUCAUUAUCCCUCUUCACCAGCUGCAUCCGCCUUUCCAUACGUUCAAUCCGAGCAAGGAGCUAGAAGGAGGUGACAAGGAAGGAUAUGCUGUGUUACAAGGGCAAGGCCAUCAUGCCCUAGACUGCACUACAGUGCUGAGCUGUGCCACUCCAUGUUGAGUAACUUCCACAA